This 741-nucleotide ribosomal RNA is filed under the name uncultured Alphaproteobacteria bacterium. RNAcentral's name for it is "bacterial SSU rRNA". It matches the Rfam family "Bacterial small subunit ribosomal RNA", at positions 1 to 791 of the family's 1533-position model. Lineage: Bacteria; Pseudomonadati; Pseudomonadota; Alphaproteobacteria. The record is from RNAcentral.
AGGGAGUUUGAUCCUGGCUCAGAACGAACGCUGGCGGCAGGCCUCAAACAUGCAAGUCUAGGGGGGUAGCAAUACCCACCGGCGGACGGGUGCGUAACGCGUGGGAACAUACCUUUCGGUACGGAACAACUGCGGGAAACUGCAGCUAAUACCGUAUACGUCCUAACGGAGAAAGAUUUAUCGCCGAAGGAUUGGCCCGCGUUCGAUUAGCUAGUUGGUGAGGUAACGGCUCACCAAGGCGACGAUCGAUAGCUGUUCUGAGAGGAAGAUCAGCCACACUGGGACUGAGACACGGCCCAGACUCCUACGGGAGGCAGCAGUUGGGAAUCUUGGACAAUGGGGGAAACCCUGAUCCAGCCAUGCCGCGUGAGUGAUGAAGGCCUUCGGGUUGUAAAACUCUUUCGACGGGGACGAUAAUGACGGUACCCGUAGAAGAAGCUCCGGCUAACUUCGUGCCAGCAGCCGCGGUAAUACGAAGGGGGCUAGCGUUGUCGGAAUUACUGGGCGUAAAGCGCGCGCAGGCGGUCUUCCAAGUCAGGGUGAAAGCCUGGAGCUCAACUCCAGAACUGCCAUUGAAACUGUUAGACUUGAGUACGAGAGAGGUGAGUGGAAUUCCCAGUGUAAAGGUGAAAUUCGUAGAUAUUGGGGAAGAACACCAGUGGCGAAAGGCGGCUCACUGGCUCGUAACUGACGCUCAGGCGCGACAGCGUGGGGGAUCAAACAGGAUUACGAUACCCUGGU